This 258-nucleotide ribosomal RNA is filed under the name uncultured bacterium. RNAcentral describes it as "partial 16S ribosomal RNA". It matches the Rfam family "Bacterial small subunit ribosomal RNA", at positions 793 to 1055 of the family's 1533-position model. The record is from RNAcentral.
GUCCAUACAGUAAACGUUGAUAACUCGAUGUGUGCGAUAUACAGUACGCGUCCAAGGGAAACCGAUAAGUUAUCCACCUGGGGAGUACGACCGCAAGGUUGAAACUCAAAGGAAUUGACGGGGGCCCGCACAAGCGGAGGAGCAUGUGGUUUAAUUCGAUGAUACGCGAGGAACCUUACCUGGGCUUGAAAGUUAGUGAAUGAUGUAGAAAUAUGUCAGUCCGCAAGGACACGAAACUAGGUGCUGCAUGGCUGUCGU